This 463-nucleotide ribosomal RNA is filed under the name uncultured bacterium. RNAcentral's name for it is "partial 16S ribosomal RNA". It matches the Rfam family "Bacterial small subunit ribosomal RNA", at positions 30 to 507 of the family's 1533-position model. The record is from RNAcentral.
CGACCGCUGGCGGCGUGCUUAACACAUGCACGUCGAACGGAAAGGCCCCUUUGGGGGUACUCGAGUGGCGAACGGGUGAGUAACACGUGAGUAACCUGCCCUUGACUUCGGGAUAACUUCAGGAAACUGGGGCUAAUACCGGAUAGGAAUCCUUGCUGCAUGGUGGGGGUUGGAAAGCUUCGGCGGUUUUGGAUGGACUCGCGGCUUAUCAGCUUGUUGGUGGGGUAGUGGCUUACCAAGGCUUUGACGGGUAGCCGGCCUGAGAGGGCGACCGGCCACAUUGGGACUGAGAUACGGCCCAGACUCCUACGGGAGGCAGCAGUGGGGAAUAUUGCACAAUGGGCGGAAGCCUGAUGCAGCAACGCCGCGUGCGGGAUGACGGCCUUCGGGUUGUAAACCGCGUUCAGCAGGGGCGAAGCUUGUGGUGACGGUACCUGCAGAAGAAGCACCGGCUAACUACGUG